GCGAAUUCGCCCUUCGGGGUGCCCAGGCGCGAAAACUUUACAACUGCGGGAAACCGUGAUAAGGGGACACCGAGUGCCAGCAUCAUAUGCUGGCUGUCCAGGUGUGUAAAAUACACCUGUCAGCAAGGGCCGGGCAAGACCGGUGCCAGCCGCCGCGGUGACACCGGCGGCCCGAGUGGUGAUCGUGAUUAUUGGGUCUAAAGGGUCCGUAGCCGGUUUGGUCAGUCCUCCGGGAAAUCUGACGGCUCAACCGUUAGGCUUUCGGGGGAUACUGCCAGGCUUGGAACCGGGAGAGGUAAGAGGUACUACAGGGGUAGGAGUGAAAUCUUGUAAUCCCUGUGAGACCACCUGUGGCGAAGGCGUCUUACCAGAACGGGUUCGACGGUGAGGGACGAAAGCUGGGGGCACGAACCGGAUUAGAUACCCGGGUAGUCCCAGCCGUAAACGAUGCUCGCUAGGUGUCAGGCAUGGCGCGACCGUGUCUGGUGCCGCAGGGAAGCCGUGAAGCGAGCCACCUGGGAAGUACGGCCGCAAGGCUGAAACUUAAAGGAAUUGGCGGGGGAGCAC
RNAcentral lists this ribosomal RNA (567 nucleotides) under uncultured archaeon. RNAcentral describes it as "bacterial SSU rRNA". It matches the Rfam family "Archaeal small subunit ribosomal RNA", at positions 312 to 879 of the family's 1478-position model. The record is from RNAcentral.